This 593-nucleotide ribosomal RNA is filed under the name Mariannaea superimposita. RNAcentral describes it as "eukaryotic LSU rRNA". It matches the Rfam family "Eukaryotic large subunit ribosomal RNA", at positions 37 to 655 of the family's 3401-position model. Lineage: Eukaryota; Fungi; Ascomycota; Sordariomycetes; Hypocreales; Nectriaceae. The record is from RNAcentral.
UGCAUAUCCAUAAGCGGAGGAAAAGAAACCAACAGGGAUUGCCCUAGUAACGGCGAGUGAAGCGGCAACAGCUCAAAUUUGAAAUCUGGCCCUCGGGUCCGAGUUGUAAUUUGUAGAGGAUGCUUUUGGUGCGGUGCCUUCCGAGUUCCCUGGAACGGGACGCCAUAGAGGGUGAGAGCCCCGUCUGGUUGGACGCCAAUCCUCUGUAAAGCUCCUUCGACGAGUCGAGUAGUUUGGGAAUGCUGCUCUAAAUGGGAGGUAUAUGUCUUCUAAAGCUAAAUAUUGGCCAGAGACCGAUAGCGCACAAGUAGAGUGAUCGAAAGAUGAAAAGCACUUUGAAAAGAGAGUUAAAAAGUACGUGAAAUUGUUGAAAGGGAAGCGCUUAUGACCAGACUUGGGCUUGGUAGAUCAACCUGGGUUCUCCCUGGUGCACUCUUCCUCGUUCAGGCCAGCAUCAGUUCGCUGUGGGGGAUAAAGGCUUCGGGAAUGUGGCUCCCUCGGGAGUGUUAUAGCCCGUUGUGUAAUACCCUGCGGUGGACUGAGGUUCGCGUUCUGCAAGGAUGCUGGCGUAAUGGUCAUCAGCGACCCGUCUU